Molecule: non-coding RNA, 7257 nt
Organism: Coturnix japonica (Japanese quail)
Lineage: Eukaryota; Metazoa; Chordata; Aves; Galliformes; Phasianidae
Source: RefSeq, a predicted model, not a curated record
GGGUACUAUGGUUAGGCUGCAGUUGGACUUGAUGAUCUUUGAGGUCUUUUCUAACCUGAGUAAUUCUAUGAUUCUUAGCACUGAUCUCAGGCUGGGAUGCAUAAGGCUUUGGCUAAAAGUAAGGAGUAAUGACAAACUUGAAUCCAUGUGCUCUUUGCUCCCGGUUCUCUCUUUGUUGUGGAGGACUGAGUACAUGGAGUGGCGCUCUCUCUUUCUCACAAUGUUACAGCCAAAACGUUCUGCACAGCCUGUAGUGCUUAACACUUUGAAAGCAUAGCAGUGACUGUGCUACGUGCUGUGAGCUGAACCAUGAACACAUGCAGAGCCAACUUUCCUCUGCUCCUGGAGUCCCAGGAAUUUCUCCCAUGUCCCUGAUGAACUGAUUUGGUGUCGCUGUUCUUCACCGGGAGAAGGUAUUUUAGGUAGUAAUAAUAUUAAAAAUGAAUAAAGAUAAAUCGUUUGAAGUUUUCCCGGUGUUAAUUGUAAGAGAUGGUAGAAAUCAAUUUGGCAUUAAUUUACUUUCAUGUCAAACACUCAACAUAAUUAAGAAAAGUGUCAUCUAAACUUUCGAAUUAAAAUUAUAUGUAACACAGACUCCUCAUUAUCAUACUAAUACCUGUGAAAAGCUGUUUUCAGUUUCAAAGCUUCACAGCCUCUUUAGAAUCAGACUUCAAAGCCUCCUGGUGAGAAUUAUGGGUAGGGAGGUUAGGACUUAAAGCAAGAUUUCUUUAAUAUUAUCCUUCAAGUGGGAGCACUUGUUUCAGUUGUUAAUUCCCUUUUCUAGAUUUCACACAUGCAGCGAAGCAUGACUAUCAGUGUUACACCCUGGUUACCAUUUGCAAGGUACCUGCACAAAUAAAUAACAGGCGUUACUCUCCCUAAACCUAACAGAAAUUGUCCGUACGAAUCACAGGCAUGAUUUAAAACCAUAAUCCAGUAUACAACUGUGGGUUUAUUCUGGAAGAAAGCUAUUUGUGUUAGUAUUAAUUACUGCCAAAUUAGAAUAGAGAAACAAACCUGACUGAGGAAAAUGCAUUGUGUGCCAUUUGCUUUGUAAUUGUGCCAGUACCUGAUCAUCCUUCCAUAGAUAUGAGACAUCAGGAAAAGCACUUGAGCUGUUUUGUUUUAUACCUGCUUUGCUUUAAAUUUUUUCCUCUGUAAGCUGCUGCAUCCAACCAUGUUUUCAGCAUUCCAAGCUAUGGCAAGCAUUUUUUUUUUUUUUUUAUUCCCUCUAUUUUAUUUCUGUUUAAUCUUUUACAAACUGAUCAAGAAAAGAGUUCCUGCCGGUCACCAUCCCUUUUUUUACUAUGAGUCAUCCAACCCCUCCUGUGUCUGCUGCUGGACUUCAAAGCAGUGACCUCAGAUUGUUACAUGUGCCUUACUGAUAGCAAGUCGGACACAGGAUUAGUAAUUUCAUCUUGAUGCCACCUGAUGACCUGUGAAAUAGGAGUAUGAGAAGGAACCUUUUUUCCAAGUAACAUUUUUCCACAUAAGUCAUACCUCUUUAGAAAUAUUAGUGCCUCGAAUAACAGGAGAUAAGAGGUAACAACUUCUGUGAGUGGGAGGGAGGAUGAGCUGUGCAAAAAGCCUUUCUCAUAAUUAUUUUUUUCCAAAAGAUUUGGAAACCCAUGUAUCAGCUGAAGAAUAAGGAAGAAAAUCAAAGAGUAAAGCAAAAAACAGAAAGGCUAUCAUUCUUCAUUAGCAGAGAAUAUGUGUGCCUUUGUAGCAAAGCAAAAAGCAACUGCUGGGCAGGAGAUCAUCUCAAUGGGAAGAAAUAAGGAGAUUCCCUUGCCAAGUUUUAAGAAAAUUACCCCUAUAGGGUUUUGACCAGCCUGUCAGUGGGAGACCAGAAACAGCCUGUUUUGACUACUCAGAAGGAGCUCUGGAAAGUUUCUAGUAUGUAUCUCAGAUCAUUGGGUAAUUUGGUUUUACAUAGCUGACAGCACUGGCCCCGGGACUCCUGAAACCCCAACGCUUAAACAAGUGGAAAGAUUUGACUUCUACUUAGGAAAUUAAAUGCAGUUAAACUUUGUCACUAGCAAAGUUACACUCUCAGUGUGCUGUAGUAAAAGCCAUGAGGAAAUUUACCACGUAUGCCACUAUAUACAUAGGAUAUGAUUUAGUUUAUAUAGUGGCCACACCGGCAGAUGCAGGGUUCAGAGUACAACACAUAAGACAUCUUUAUUACCUCCUUCCAUGUCUAUAUAAAUGAUACUCAGCUCAACAAACCAAGUUUAUUUUCAACCAAACUACGCUCAAACAAAAAUAGAACAAAAUCUGCACUUCUUAGGUGCCACCAAAAUGAUUCCUAUAAAGACAAUGCUUUUCAUUAGAGGUGUCAGCAGUUCAGAACUGCAUCUUCGCUUGUCUUUGUGUAAGGGGGCGCUUACUCAAACAGAUCAAACAUCUCAGUGCUUAGAAAAGGAGAACACUGGUGUCACAGAUGCUGCCUACUUGGCGUAGAAUGACAGAAAUCAAUGAAAAGAAGUGACACUUGAAAGUAUGGAGCUACUUUUGAGAGCCUGACGUGAUGGUGCAAAGUUGUAUUAGGUGUGAGAAGCUUCGUAGACAUGGUGACACAGGGGCCCUGCAAUACCAUUGUGUGAUGAGCACUCAAAUAUCUGGACCACUGAAUGCAAACCAGGCCUUAACACAUUAUAAAUUCUUCACUUCCAUCAACUGUCAGUGAAAUGGGAAUGCAAACAAAUGUGUGAUGUUGCACUUUAAUGAAAAACACGACUGAAGCUAUCCUCAAAGGGACUCUGCUACUUACCUCUCACAUCCUAGAUGUAAGAAUAGCACAACAACUCAUGAUAAAAGAUACCAGAUAUGAAACUCUGGAUCUUAUUAUGUGAAAAAAUCAUUACAGAAAAUAACAUUUCUUACAGAUAAGGAGCUUCCUCAUUUAUGAAUGUUGUGUCUUGGCUUGGUUAUUACAUUCGUUUUCUGGGCUUAGGGGGUUGAUAAUAAAACUCAGGCAAAACUUUCGACAGCAAUUUAAGUAAUAAAAAAAAACUACUUUAAAAAAAAACCUACUUUACUGCUAUAGGCAUCAUCUCCCGCCCCACCCUCACUUACCCCAUGUUGAGCUGACAGGGCAGAAGGGUUUGCUCAGAAAUUUGGAGCAGAGACCGCAAUCUUAAGCUGCAUUAUGCUACUGGACAUGAGGUUACUUAGUGUCUUGUGGGAUAGUGUGCAUUUCCCUGGCUCCUGAGGAGGAAAGGAGAAAAGCAAUGUUGUAGUGUUGGAAGGAGAAGUCAGAAAUGCAAAGUUUUCCACUGUGAUCCCAUUUCUACAGUAAGGAAAUUGGGAUGUGCAGGACAUACAGCAGGGAUGGGCCACCAAUAGCUUCCCUAGAGAACCUAUUCCAGGGGUUAACUGCCCUUACAUGAAAGAAUGUCAUUCAAAAUUUGAGGAAAGAGAACCAUAUGGAAGAACUUAUGAUGAGAGAAGAUAUGUCACAUGUAAUAGAGAGCAGAAAGAACAAGACAUGAGGAUUUCUGUGGGGCAGCAUGACAAAGGAAUUGCCCUGAAGUACACAGGUCUUUAAUGCCUGAGUGGAAACAACAGCUCAUGUCCAACAACUCAGCACCUUUGCAAGGGAGGUCACCCCUGGUUUAUGAUGCUUAGCUUAGAUUUGUAACCUGGCUUCAUGUUUCAAAGAUGUGAAAACUUCAAAGCACUUCAACAUGCCUGUCCUAUAAAUCAAAAGACGGUCUAUCGGACACCUUCUUGUCCAAAGAAACAUGAACUAGCUGAGGGAGGGACAAAAUGUAAAUCCUGAAACUGAUUAACUCAGACUCCAAGAUUCAAGAGGACUUCUGAGCUGAAAUGAGAUUCUCCUUUUGUGACUAAAGAUUGCCAUAAUGCUCAGUUAUGAAGGUUAAUGUAUUUUGAAGCAACGCAUAUGGUUUGUUUUGCUCGUGGAUGUUAUUUAGCAUUCAGUUGUACUCAACAUGAAGCAGACUGUCAGUAAUGCAAAGCACACACUAACAUAUGUAAUUCUCUUAAAAAGUAAUUUCUGAAGUUUUGAAAGGCCCAAAUAUGAAUCAAGCUGAAGGCAGGAGGAUAUCCAUGAAAUGAAAAAUAAAAUAUUCAUGUGAUAAAAUGCUUGUAAGAACCAAGGUAGGAUAUACAGUAACUAGAAAGAAAGGAAACCAAUGAAACCGCAACCUAAGAAAAUAUGGUCAAGAGCACAAGUGCCAACCCUACCCCGUGUAUUCAAACAAACAAAUAGGCUGUUCAUGCAAAUAACUUCAAUAAUGUUUUCACUUAGAAGAAGGCAGUGAUGUUGGAAAGAUCUGGAUGCAAUUAUUUUUUACAAAAGAAGGAAAGGAAGGAAAGGAAGGGCAGGAAGGAAAGGAAGGAAAAUAAGGAAGGAAAAGAAGGGAGGAAGGGAGGCAGGAAGAAGCCCCCCCAGAAAAACAACAAGCAGAAAGAAAAAGCUCCGCUCAUGAGGCAUCCUAUCCAUUCUUCAUAGUUUGUGAACACCCACCUAAAAUAUGUGCCAUUACGCCACUUGUUUUUAAAUCUGCACAUUGGAAAAGGCAGAUCAUACUUCUAAAAUUCAUUGGGUAUUUUUAUAAUAUAAUCUGGCUACAGGAAAAUAUCAAAACUGAAUGAUGACACUGAAUGAUUUACCAGGAAUAUUGAACACUUGUUAAAGAUAGGAAUAAAAUGCCAUUUUCUUUCUCACAGCCUAAAAACAAGCCUUUAGAAGAUGUAGAUGAUCAAAGAUUUUCUCCAAUGGCAGCAUACCGAUUUAUACCAAUUUAUACAAUUGAUACCAGCUUUUACAAAUCUUUGCAUGUCUAGAGAAAGGUGAGGUUUACUGUAGGAAUUCCCCGAGUCAUUAAUUGAUUGAAUAAGAGAAAAUAAAGUUUUCCCAUAUGUGAUGGAAACAGCAAGAAAAAUGUAUUAUCUCCACAGACAGCAGAAAAGAAAAACUUAGCAUGAAUUUUAGAACAUUUCCUUAGUCACUGUUCUGAUUUCCAGAACAUGAACAUCUUUUGUAUCAAACAAAAAGUUCUGUUUACUUCCUAUCUGAAGUUACAUAUUUAAAAAGGGAUCAACAAACCCUGUUAAGGUGUGAAGUUUGGUACAGGAACUGACAAAAAGAUGGAGGAGAAAUUGCAAUGACUCUUGCUAUGCUGGUGCCAAUCCCCACCUCAUGCCUUAAAUUUUCACACUGAGCCCUUUUAUCAGGAAAAUUUGGGGCAGGUUGUGAUAGCCAUUUUGUUGUAGUAAGUCUGCACUAAUAUACCUAAGCGUGUGAGAAUUCUCAAUGACUGUCAUAGAAUCAUAGAAUCACCAAGGUUGGAAAAGACCUAAAAGAUCAUCCAGUCCAACCAUUCACCUAUUACCAAUAGCUCCCACUAAACCAUGUCCCUCAACACAACGUCCAGUCUUUCCUUGAACACACCCAGGAUCGGUGACUCCACCAACUCCCUGGGCAGUCCAUUCUCUGUCAUUCAGACACAGGGAGAAUCUGUCUCUGUGGUUUCAUAAUUUACCAACCAGUAUUCUAGUUGUUUUUAUACCAAAUGAUAAAGUAAACAUGUUAGGUGGGUUUGUUAUUUUUUGUUUAAUUACUCAUUCUUUUUACUAAAAAUUCUAUAAAGAUGAGUAAUCUGUGAUGCAGCUGGAUGCAGGCUGUGAUAAAAGUCCAACUAAACAGCACAAAAUGGUAUUAGCUCCAGAAUGAAUGUGCCAGUUUCUAUUUCACUUUUCCUUGAGGCUAAAAUUUUAUCCUUUCUUGCUCUUCUUUUUAUUAUGCCCUGGUGUUCAGAAGGCAGAACUGUGCUACAGGUGACAACACAGUCUAUUAAGCCUGCAAUGUGUGCAGACUAUUACAGGCUAUCUUGGGGUCUGCGCUUUUCCUUCUUGCCUGCACAUUGCCGUACCUUGGUGACCUUGGGUUCCUUUCAGUCUUACAGAGCAUUCCUCUGCUGGAGAGUGGUGGUUUAAAAAAAAAGAUAAGAAAGAAAAUCCUCAUUAAGAAUAAAGUUGCACCGUCUGUCGUACAUCUUGUGGCAACAGCUGAACUAAAAUGUCUUGGCUUCCCAGGGUUCUGAAUGCUUCCAGUACAAGUCAGGAAAAUAGGAACAGGAACGGAGGAUGUGGAUGCAGGUUUCCUCAUCUGCAGAAGACGGUCUGAAGCAAAACAAAAGUUUUGCUGUUGCACUUUACAAGAUGAUGGAAGAAACAUGAGAACUGGGGCAAGAACUACAAAGAAUAUUACAAUCUAAUUUACCAGUAUUCCUCUGUGAAAUGACAUCAUUUUGUGUACUUAAAAUAAGGUAAAGAUUCACUGUAGGGUUGCCUAAUUUUGGUUAUGUUGACAGUUAAUGCAGCACAAAAGGCUCCUUACUUACUGUUACCGUUACCUGGACAAAAGUUUAUCUCAUGUUGCUUCUCAUGAGUGAAUUUCAGUGUGCACUGCAGGCUUUUGUUGGCAUGCACUUUUGCUUGAUUCUGCAAUGAGAAGCUGCAUGCAGAAUGUCCCGUAAAGCUUACUGGCACAAACAUUGCUUUUGCCAUCAUAUUCUAUACACUCCUACUUCAGUAUCCUAUUUCUAUAUACUCUUCCCUGGAAAUGUAAAGAAAAAUGAAACAAAAUAACUUGCAUCAAAACAUAUUAGCUUAUGAGUGUUUAAACUCCCGUGUCUGGAAAUGCCAGCUUGAUUUAUUUUGCAUGCAAUUGUCCAAAUGAUUAAUCAGAUACUUCUUUCACGGUUUUUACAAUACAUUCCUUCACACUUUCCCCAUUUCAUGGUGUUUUCCUGAUGCAAACUCUCUUUCAUUUUUUUCUUCUCUCUUUCAUCCAGUGAUUCAAAUUAACUAUGUCACUUGCAGAUUAAGCUGAACAAGGCAGGCAUGAAUCCUCAGAAGUACUUAGGCAAAUGAAUAGAAAUUAGGUUCCUAAGCCAUUCUGGUGAUUUAGACCUUGGUCUUAACAUUUUUCUUCACCUCCUCAGCAGCUGCUUAGACAAAUCAGCCAGAUUUCCUCUCAAGUGAUGGUAACAGACUGAAAUGCAUUGUUUGUAGCUUUCCACAUUUAAAAGGUAGAAAACAAGAAUAAUAAUAAGGCAUCAAUGUACCUGUUUAAUAAUUAUUUCUGAUAUUUGAGGUCUAUUAUGCAGCUGUUUAAUGUUCUUUUAGCUGUGAAAAAUAUCUUUGCAGUCUCAUAAUUUUGCAUAAAGAAUAUCGAUGUGAAUUGUAUUGAUUGACACCUUAUAUUAAAACAUUUGAUCAGUG